AUGCGGAACCGCGUACUUUUUGUAGAACGGUCCGGCGAGUUGUGCAUGCUGGCAAGGUUAAGCGCUAAAGGCGUGGAGCCGUAGGGAAACCAAGUCUGAAUAGGGCCAGAGUCAGUAUGUGCAGACCCGAAACCGGGUGAUCUAUCCAUGUCCAGGUUGAAGCUGCCGUAAGAGGCAGUGGAGGACCGAACCCACAUCCGUUGAAAAGGGUGGGGAUGAGGUGUGGAUAGGGGAGAAAUUCCAAUCGAACCCGGAGAUAGCUGGUUCUCCUCGAAAUAGCUUUAGGGCUAGCCUCGAUAGAGAUACAUGGAGGUAGAGCACUGAAUUUCCUAGGGGGCGUCAAAGCCUACCGAAGAAUAUCAAACUCCGAAUGCCAUGGAAUUGAUUAUCGGGAGUCAGACUAUACGAGAUAAGUUGGAUAGUCAAAAGGGAAAGAGCCCAGACCUCCAGCUAAGGUCCCAAAGUACGUGUUAAGUGGAAAAGGAUGUGGGAUUUCGAAGACAACCAGGAUGUUGGCUCAGAAGCAGCCAUACAUUCAAAGAGUGCGUAAUAGCUCACUGGUCGAGAGGUCCUGCGCCGAAAAUGUCCGGGGCUAAAACACGACACCGAAGCUGAGGAAUGUAGUAAUACAUUGGUAGAGGAGCAUUGAAUACGGGAAGAAGCAGUACCGAAAGGAGCUGUGGACUGUAUUGAAGAGAGAAUGCCGGAAUGAGUAGCGAGAAUAAGGUGAGAAUCCUUAUGGCCGAAUAUCUAAGGUUUCCAGGGUAAAGCUGAUCUGCCCUGGGUAAGUCGGGACCUAAGGCGAGGUCGAAAGACGUAGCCGAUGGACAACAGGUUGAGAUUCCUGUACUGCGUUAGAACAGAACUGUGGGGACACGUGUGGAAAGCACAACCCGGGAAUGGAAUCCCGGGGCAAGCGAAGGAGGAGUCACAUAGGAAAAACCGUGUGGCAAUCCAAAAGCGUGAUGCGGACCGAACUAGAGUAGGGAAGUGUGUGAGCCAUGCGUCAAGAAAAGCCGCUAUUGUUUGUAACGUACCCGUACCGUAAACCGACACAGGUGGAUGAGGAGAGAAUCCUAAGGCCGACGGAAGAAGCAUUGCCAAGGAACUCGGCAAAAUGACCCCGUAACUUCGGGAGAAGGGGUGCCCGUGUAAAAGCGGGCCGCAGAGAAUAGGCUCAAGCAACUGUUUAGCAAAAACACAGGUCUAUGCGAAACCGAAAGGUGAGGUAUAUGGGCUGACGCCUGCCCGGUGCUGGAAGGUUAAGAGGAGAUGUCAGGAAACGAAGCAUUGAAUUUAAGCCCCAGUAAACGGCGGCCGUAACUAUAACGGUCCUAAGGUAGCGAAAUUCCUUGUCGGGUAAGUUCCGACCCGCACGAAAGGCGUAAUGAUUUGAGCGCUGUCUCGGCAAUGCAUCCGGUGAAAUUGAAGUACCAGUGAAGAUGCUGGUUACCUGCGCCAGGACGGAAAGACCCCAUGGAGCUUUACUCCAGUUUGGUACUGGGAUUCGGUAUUGCAUGUACAGGAUAGGUGGGAGACUAAGAGGUAGUGACGCCAGUUGCUACGGAGUCGAUGUUGGGAUACCACCCUUGCAGUAUUGGGUUUCUAACCAGCCGCCGUGACCCGGCGGUGGGACAAUGCCAGGCGGGGAGUUUGACUGGGGCGGUCGCCUCCGAAAGGGUAUCGGAGGCGCCCAAAGGUUCCCUCAGAAUGGACGGAAACCAUUCGAAGAGUGCAAAGGCAGAAGGGAGCUUGACUGCGACACCGACGGGUGGAGCAGGUACGAAAGUAGGGCUUAGUGAUCCGGUGGUAUUAAGUGGGAAUGCCAUCGCUCAACGGAUAAAAGCUACCCUGGGGAUAACAGGCUUAUCACUCCCAAGAGUUCACAUCGACGGAGUGGUUUGGCACCUCGAUGUCGGCUCAUCGCAUCCUGGGGCUGUAGUAGGUCCCAAGGGUUGGGCUGUUCGCCCAUUAAAGCGGUACGCGAGCUGGGUUCAGAACGUCGUGAGACAGUUCGGUCCCUAUCCGGCGUGGGCGUAGGAUAUUUGAGAGGAGCUGUCCUUAGUACGAGAGGACCGGGAUGGACAGGCCGCUGGUGUAUCUGUUGUAGUGCCAACUGCAUGGCAGAGUAGCCAAGCCUGGAAGGGAUAAACGCUGAAGGCAUCUAAGCGUGAAGCCCCCCUCAAGAUGAGAUAUCCCAUUC
RNAcentral lists this ribosomal RNA (2203 nucleotides) under Blautia stercoris. RNAcentral's name for it is "partial 23S ribosomal RNA". It matches the Rfam family "Bacterial large subunit ribosomal RNA", at positions 589 to 2819 of the family's 2925-position model. Lineage: Bacteria; Bacillati; Bacillota; Clostridia; Lachnospirales; Lachnospiraceae. The record is from RNAcentral.